RNAcentral lists this non-coding RNA (30 nucleotides) under Rattus norvegicus (Norway rat). Lineage: Eukaryota; Metazoa; Chordata; Mammalia; Rodentia; Muridae. The record is from RNAcentral.
UAAGAAUCCCAUCUGUUCUAAAGACUGAGC